CCUACGGGAGGCAGCAGUGGGGAAUAUUGGACAAUGGGCGCAAGCCUGAUCCAGCAAUGCCGCGUGUGUGAAGAAGGCCUGCGGGUUGUAAAGCACUUUCAAUUGGGAGGAAAAGCGCGAGGUUAACAGCCUUGUGUCUUGACAUUACCUUUAGAAGAAGCACCGGCUAACUCCGUGCCAGCAGCCGCGGUAAUACGGAGGGUGCAAGCGUUAACCGGAAUUACUGGGCGUAAAGCGUACGUAGGCGGUUGUGUCAGUCAGAUGUGAAAUCCCCGGGCUUAACCUGGGAACUGCAUUUGAUACUGCACGGCUGGAGUUUGGUAGAGGAGAGCGGAAUUCCCGGUGUAGCGGUGAAAUGCGUAGAGAUCGGGAGGAACACCAGUGGCGAAGGCGGCUCUCUGGACCAAAACUGACGCUGAGGUACGAAAGCGUGGGUAGCAAACAGGAUUAGAUACCCUGGUAGUCCACGCUGUAAACGAUGAGAACUAGCCGUUGGGGUCAAAUAAGACUUUAGUGGCGCAGCUAACGUGAUAAGUUCUCCGCCUGGGGAGUACGGCCGCAAGGUUAAAACUCAAAUGAAUUGACGGA
RNAcentral lists this ribosomal RNA (588 nucleotides) under uncultured bacterium. RNAcentral describes it as "bacterial SSU rRNA". It matches the Rfam family "Bacterial small subunit ribosomal RNA", at positions 338 to 917 of the family's 1533-position model. The record is from RNAcentral.